UGGGGAAUAUUAGACAAUGGGCGCAAGCAUGAUCCAGCCAUGCCGACGUGGGUGUAUGAAGGCCCUAGGGUUGUAAAGCCCUUUCAGCGGGGAGAGAUAAUCGACGGUACCCGCAGAAGAAGCCCCGGAUAUACUUCGUGCCAGCACCCGCUAUAAUACGAAGGGCAAUAGCGUUGCGCAGAAUUAGUGGG
Molecule: ribosomal RNA, 191 nt
Filed under: uncultured Alphaproteobacteria bacterium
Lineage: Bacteria; Pseudomonadati; Pseudomonadota; Alphaproteobacteria
Description: partial 16S ribosomal RNA
Rfam family: Bacterial small subunit ribosomal RNA
Source: RNAcentral